This 253-nucleotide ribosomal RNA is filed under the name uncultured bacterium. Its description in RNAcentral is "partial 16S ribosomal RNA". It matches the Rfam family "Bacterial small subunit ribosomal RNA", at positions 524 to 776 of the family's 1533-position model. The record is from RNAcentral.
UACGUAGGGAGCAAGCGUUGUCCGGAAUCAUUGGGCGUAAAGCGCGCGUAGGUGGCCCUGUAAGUCCGCUCUGAAAGUCGAAGGCUCAACCUUCGAAAGCGGGUGGAUACUGCAGGGCUAGAGUCCGGAAGAGGCGAGUGGAAUUCCUGGUGUAGCGGUGAAAUGCGUAGAUAUUGGGAGGAACACCAGUGGCGAAGGCGGCUCACUGGACCGGAACUGACGCUGAGGCGCGAAAGCCAGGGGAGCAAACGGG